GGAAGAUUGGCCGAGCGGCUAAGGCAGCUCCCUGCUAAGGAGUGGAUCCUCACGGGUCCCGAAGGUUCAAAUCCUUCAUCUUCCGCCA
Molecule: transfer RNA, 88 nt
Filed under: Serratia phage vB_SmaM-Kashira
Lineage: Duplodnaviria; Heunggongvirae; Uroviricota; Caudoviricetes
Description: tRNA-Ser
Rfam family: tRNA
About the family: Transfer RNA (tRNA) molecules are approximately 80 nucleotides in length. Their secondary structure includes four short double-helical elements and three loops (D, anti-codon, and T loops).
Source: RNAcentral